CCAUGCAAAUCUGCCCGUCGGCUUCGACGGACGGUGUACGGCUCAGUAACAAGUAGUCAAUCUGCCCUAAGGACGGGAGCAACCUCGGGAAACUGAGGUCAAUUCCCGAUGCUUCAUCUAUGCUGGAAUGCUUGAUGAGGAAAAUGCGCGGUAAAUUGUAGCCGUUGCGCCUUAGGAUGAGACUGCUCCUGAUUAGGUAGUUGGUGAGGUAACGGCUCACCAAGCCGAUAAUCAGUAGGGGCAAUGGGAGUUGGCGCCCCGAGAAGGGCACUGAGAUAAGGGCCCUAGUCCUACGGGAUGCAGCAGGCGCGAAACCUUUACAAUGCGCGAAAGCGUGAUAAGGGAAUUCUGAGUGGCAGCCGGCUUUUAGCCGACUGUCUUUUGGCGAACCUAAAUCGUUCGCAGAAUAAGUUCUGGGUAAGACCAGUGCCAGCCGCCGCGGUAAUACUGGCAGAACGAGUGGUGCCCACGAAUAUUGGGUCUAAAGAGACCGUAGCUGGUUUGUUAAGUCCACUGUGAAAUCUUGGGGCUCAACCUCAAGGCGUGCAGUGGAUACUGGCAGACUUGAGAGCGGGGGAGGUCAGGGGUACUUACGGGGUAUGAGUAAAAUCAGUUGAUCCUGUAAGGACCACCAGUGGCGAAGGCGCCUGACCAAAACGCGUCUGACAGUGAGGGUCGAAGGCUAGGAGAACGAAUCGGAUUAGAUACCCGAGUAGCCCUAGCAGUAAAUUAUGCUGACUGUGGUGUUGCUAUGGCUUCGGGCCAUGGCAGUGCUGUAGCGUAGGUGUUAAGUCUGCCACCUGGGGAGUACGGCCGCAAGGUUGAAACUUAAAGGAAUUGGCGGGGGAGCACCACAAGGGGUGGAUGCUGCGGUUCAA
Molecule: ribosomal RNA, 878 nt
Filed under: uncultured archaeon
Lineage: Archaea
Description: bacterial SSU rRNA
Rfam family: Archaeal small subunit ribosomal RNA
Source: RNAcentral